CAAUUUUCGUGGUUUCGUGGAUGAUUUUAUCCACGAAUUUAAGUGUCCAACGAAAUAAAACAACCAUUGUCCAAAGCAAGACAUGGAACGAUCCCCAUGUAGGGUUGACUACUGUCAUGAUCUAGAGAAUAUAUUGAACAACGCCAAUUCUGAGAAUACUUUAAUAGGAGUCACAGAACUACAACUGCAUACAGGGUUAUACGCAUUAAAUCUUUAAUAACCGAAAAUGUACAACUUUUCAUCUUUUCAUUCUCAUAAAAAAUAUUUUUGGUCGAUGAAAGUCAGAUUUCUGGUAUUGAUAUGCUAGUAUGAUAAAGUGUUCAUUUUAUAUCCUCAUAGUUCGCGUACAUAUGGGAAAUGAUAAUUUCAUGCUUGGCUUGAUUUUGAUUAGAACUAUUUGACAAUUCAAGAUACGUUUAUAGUAUUUGUUUAUGUUACUGUUUUUUUUAUUCUUUAGGUGACAUGUUUAUGGCCUAAUUAACACCUUUGAUGGUCUUUAAUCUGUUGAUCACUUUAUCUUAGGUUAAUUAGACUUGUGUUGUCACUACGAUUCACACAUGUCAAUGUUUACUUUGCAAUAUCCUUCAAUCCAGACUAUUUGUUAUCUUCGUUUCUAAAGGCUUUAAUUUUUCAAUUACUUUUUUUAGAAAACUAAAAUCCACGAAUUUAAAAACCCACGAAUUUGUAAAUAUUGCUCAAACCACGAAAAUUGAUACCC
RNAcentral lists this long non-coding RNA (718 nucleotides) under Mytilus galloprovincialis (Mediterranean mussel). The record is from RNAcentral. Lineage: Eukaryota; Metazoa; Mollusca; Bivalvia; Mytilida; Mytilidae.